GGAAAUCACCACCAACACACUACAACACAAGUAUUUAUAAUUUUAUUACACAAACACAACAAUGGAAAGCAAGGUUGGCUACAAGAGGAUUAUCCUGGCGCUCUUUUUCAUCCUUGCAACAGUGAUGCUACAAAUCCUUGCUGUAAAAGCACAAGAACGUGAAAAUCCACUGUGUGAGGAGCACUUGGGCCAUCCAUGUAACCCUGUUUCUAGGCCUUGCUGUGCUCACACUGGCCGUCAGUGUGUCGCUGCUGCCGCCCUCAACGGUUUUCGAUGCGUCUAAAACUGUCGUCAAUCGCCGUAUACUCCGCCCACGACGAAGCUUGAUUGAUCCAAUACAUACAUUAUACAUAAUCACUGCAUCAUCUAUAUAUGUAUCAUGUAAUUAAUUUCUGGUUUGUGUCGUUUUCCCUUAUUGUAAUAAUCAUGUAUGAGUCUGCUUAUGGUUUGAUUUCUGGUUGAGUUUCGAAUUGUUGAUUCUCUGGUCUAGUCUGAUCUAUUCUAGCCGUGAAGCUAGAAACAAUUAUGUUGUAGUUGUACUGUAUGUUAUUUAAAUAAUAUUCUGGUUUUCUAUCA
Molecule: long non-coding RNA, 576 nt
Organism: Amaranthus tricolor (Joseph's coat)
Lineage: Eukaryota; Viridiplantae; Streptophyta; Magnoliopsida; Caryophyllales; Amaranthaceae
Exons: 2
Source: RefSeq, a predicted model, not a curated record